RNAcentral lists this ribosomal RNA (606 nucleotides) under Enterococcus faecium. RNAcentral's name for it is "partial 23S ribosomal RNA". It matches the Rfam family "Bacterial large subunit ribosomal RNA", at positions 123 to 732 of the family's 2925-position model. Lineage: Bacteria; Bacillati; Bacillota; Bacilli; Lactobacillales; Enterococcaceae. The record is from RNAcentral.
GGAACCCAACAUCUUUAAUAGGAUGUUACGAUUGUGUGAAUACAUAGCACAUUCGAGGUAGACGCAGAGAACUGAAACAUCUAAGUACCUGCAGGAAGAGAAAGAAAAUUCGAUUCCCUGAGUAGCGGCGAGCGAAACGGGAAAAGCCCAAACCAGCAAGCUUGCUUGUUGGGGUUGUAGGACUCCAAUAUGGUAGUUCUUUCAGAUAGUCGAAUGACUUGGAAAAGUCAGUCAAAGAGGGUAAAAACCCCGUAGACGAAAUGUGGAAGACACCUAGGAGGAUCCUGAGUACGGCGGAACACGAGAAAUUCCGUCGGAAUCCGGGAGGACCAUCUCCCAAGGCUAAAUACUCCCUAGUGACCGAUAGUGAACCAGUACCGUGAGGGAAAGGUGAAAAGCACCCCGGAAGGGGAGUGAAAUAGAACCUGAAACCGUGUGCCUACAACAAGUCAAAGCCCGUUAAUGGGUGAUGGCGUGCCUUUUGUAGAAUGAACCGGCGAGUUACGAUUGCAUGCGAGGUUAAGUUGAAGAGACGGAGCCGCAGCGAAAGCGAGUCUGAAUAGGGCGUUUGAGUAUGUAGUCGUAGACCCGAAACCAUGUGAUCUA